Molecule: ribosomal RNA, 416 nt
Filed under: bacterium enrichment culture clone ALO1_GLFRUDD03G9K50
Lineage: Bacteria
Description: bacterial SSU rRNA
Rfam family: Bacterial small subunit ribosomal RNA
Source: RNAcentral
GAGUUUGAUCUUGGCUCAGAUUGAACGCUGGCGGCAUGCCUUACACAUGCAAGUCGAACGGCAGCACGGGAGCUUGCUCCUGGUGGCGAGUGGCGAACGGGUGAGUAAUGCAUCGGAACGUAUCCUGGAGUGGGGGAUAACGUAGCGAAAGUUACGCUAAUACCGCAUAUUCUGUGAGCAGGAAAGCGGGGGACCUUCGGGCCUCGCGCUCUUGGAGCGGCCGAUGUCGGAUUAGCUAGUUGGUGAGGUAAAGGCUCACCAAGGCGACGAUCCGUAGCAGGUCUGAGAGGAUGAUCUGCCACACUGGAACUGAGACACGGUCCAGACUCCUACGGGAGGCAGCAGUGGGAAUUUUGGACAAUGGGGGCAACCCUGAUCCAGCCAUGCCGCGUGAGUGAGAAGGCCUCGGUUGUAAG